UAAUUCUAAUUCACACUGUGGCAGGAAAUAUGACGCACACAGUAUAUGGUUGAAUACAAAGACAGCGUUGGAGCAAAUACCACACAUAUCAUCUCAAUGCAACAGAACCUUCUGGCUGCACAUUUGUUGGAGAGAUGACCAUGGAAACCAAGCUGGUCCGUGUCUGGCUGGUCAGCAGUCUGAUUCACACUAUCUCAGGAUGUUCUCUAUCUGCACCCGGAGGAGUCACUGGGUACACAGGAGGCUCUGUGGUCCUGUCUUGCUUCUGCACUGAUGGAGGGACAAUACUGAGACAUAGCAGAUGGGUUUUUCAACCAGGUCCUUCCGCUAUCGCACUUUGGUCAGGUCGUCGAGUGGACGACCGCUACAAAGACCGGGCGUUGAUUUCUGACUCCCCUGGAAACAUGUUUCUCCGUCUCUCAGAUCUCGCUCUGUCAGAUGGGGGGACAUACCGGUGUGAAGCAGAUGGACAGUUUAAAGACAUCAUCCUCACAGUUAUACAUAGAUUUGAAGAAUUUUGUUUAAAAGUUUAAAUGGGUUGUGUUUAAAUCUUCAAAUGACAACAUUUCUAUCAACUCAUUGCCUACAGCUAACCUAGGUGGGUGGGACAUAUUUGUCCCAAAUAUUAUGGUACCAUAAAAAUGGGGGUAGGGGGGAGGGGCUUUGUAUGCAAAGUGCUGUAAUCUCUACAUUGUGAAACCCAAAUGGUAUGAAAUAAAUCCCCUUUAAUAAAAGCUGAGAAACUGCA
Conger conger (European conger) is the source of this 748-nucleotide long non-coding RNA. RefSeq lists it as uncharacterized. The record is from RefSeq and is a predicted model, not a curated record. The transcript has 2 exons. NCBI's taxonomy places the organism in Eukaryota, Metazoa, Chordata, Actinopteri, Anguilliformes, Congridae.